ACCCCAAACCGACACAGGUGGUCAGGUAGAGAAUACCAAGGCGCUUGAGAGAACUCGGGUGAAGGAACUAGGCAAAAUGGUGCCGUAACUUCGGGAGAAGGCACGCUGAUAUGUAGGUGAAGUCCCUUGCGGAUGGAGCUGAAAUCAGUCGAAGAUACCAGCUGGCUGCAACUGUUUAUUAAAAACACAGCACUGUGCAAACACGAAAGUGGACGUAUACGGUGUGACGCCUGCCCGGUGCCGGAAGGUUAAUUG
Molecule: ribosomal RNA, 255 nt
Filed under: Escherichia coli
Lineage: Bacteria; Pseudomonadati; Pseudomonadota; Gammaproteobacteria; Enterobacterales; Enterobacteriaceae
Also listed under: 1 other name
Description: partial 23S ribosomal RNA
Rfam family: Bacterial large subunit ribosomal RNA
Source: RNAcentral